AUGCUUGAUUGGUCCCAAGAUUUGCUUUCUUCACCGAGUUUCCGCACUUUUUUUCAACGACCGUUCUCCAGCAGGAGGAAAUUGUGAUUCAAAGCAAAGUUCAUGGAGUAUCGAUAUUUCCCAUCUCGAUCAAAGUAUCGAUAUCGCCCGCGACGGGUGCGAACCGCGCGACCUCUUCCCAUCUUUUGGCCCGUUUAUAGCCCGUUUUGGAGGCUCGGCAAUUUUCGGCGAUCCAAAUAAUCCUCGCAUUCCUCGCGCGCGUUUAGCGGCGCGCGGUGCGAUAUUUUUGGACGCGCCGCUUCUUCGCUGGUCUUCGCAUCGGCCAGCACUGCGGCGUUAUCGUUAUCGCGUCAAUAUCGGUAACGGCAUAGCUCAAUCUAUUCAUCGGCUGCUUUUGCCUUCUCGCUCCGAGUUGUUCCACGGUGACUUUGACUGACAUUCCGUCCGCCACUUAUAGCAACUCGUAUGUCGACGUAGGUACUCGUAGGAGUCAUAGGUAACCGAGGAACAUCGUCGUCGUCGUUGUCGACCCGUGGAGCUGCACUGUGCUGCACCCUGCUGCACUCUCCUUUUUUUUUCUUUCUCUGAUGCGCGUUGUUCACCUCGUGUCCUGGGACUUCUGGGGUGCAAAAAGUGCGAGUGUGUCACGAAAACGCUGAAAAAGAGUCCUCUCCUGAGAAGCUUCUUGGACUACAUGGUUACUGAGCUAACAUUUAGCGGCUGAAAUCGGCGAGUUGAAGAAGGAGAGAGAUUGGACAAACCCACUUGUGGUCUCCCCAAGAUCUCCCUUUCGAAAAUUCAUACAGGCCUUUUAAAAAGAUUUCCCUAAUCCUGCGGUUCCGACGAACGUCAUCAGUAAUCUGAGAUCGAAUCCCUUUCUCUCGAUACAAUGGAUAUCGACGCCGACACUUGUCUCAAGGAAUGGAACGAUUUGGUGCAAGACUACAAGGAACUGGAGGCACUAAAUAGGGAAUAUAUUUUGAAAUUAGAAGAAAUUGGCGAGCUGCAAGCAAAAUGCAUCAAAGGUAUCUCUCAUCAGAAAUAUCGAAUGGGUGUAAUAUCCAAAUCCUUAAAACAGCUAAAUACAAAAGAAACACAAGAAGAAUUGCAAAAAUCUAUGACGAGGAGAGAACAGCAGCUCAGAGAGAUUGAGCAAACUUUACCUAAAUCAAACGGCAUUUACUUACAAAUUAUUCUAGGCAGUGUUAAUGUCUCCAUAUUAAAUAAAAGUGACAAAUUCAAGUAUAAAGACGAAUAUGAGAAAUUCAAAUUAGUGCUGUCCGUAAUUGGAUUUGUCUUAUCUGUAUUAAAUCUGUUUACCAAUAUAAGAACCUUAGAACUUAGUUUUAUGUUUCUUCUCGUUUGGUACUAUUGUACAUUAACGAUAAGAGAAAGUAUACUCAAGGUAAAUGGAUCAAGAAUUAAAGGAUGGUGGAGAUUCCAUCAUUUUCUCUCAACAGUAGUAUCCGGGGUUCUACUAGUCUGGCCGAAUACUGGACCGUGGUAUCAAUUUCGUAACCAAUUCAUGUGGUUUAAUGUGUAUAUCAGUGUAGUCCAAUAUUUGCAAUUUCGGUACCAACGUGGCGUUUUGUAUCGGUUAAAAGCACUGGGAGAGAGGGACAAUAUGGACAUUACUAUUGAGGGAUUUCAUUCGUGGAUGUGGCGCGGUCUCUCAUUUCUGCUGCCGUUCCUCUUCGCUGGUUAUUUGUUUCAACUUUAUAAUGCGUACACGUUAUACGAACUAGCAUACCAUCCAGAGGCGACAUGGCACGUACCAGUACUUAGCGCCAUGUUCCUCGUAUUAUUUCUGGGUAAUACUACCACCACCAUCAUGGUAAUCCCACAGAAACUCGUCAAGGAUCGCGUUAAGGAUCAACUAUUCGCUUUUAAACCUGAUCACAGGAAAGAGGGAAGAACACGAGAUAAGAACAAUAAAGAUGAAAAAAGUGAGUGAAGGAAGAAUUUCGAGUACUUCCAGCUGAUGAAAAUUUCGACUUAAUUACAUGGAAAAUAAAUUGGAGGAAAAAUCACAAAGAUAAGAUGAAUACGCUAUAAAAUGGUGUUGGUGUUGGCUCUAAAAUAUAACGAACACAACACUUUGUUGCGUUUAGCAAUGGAAGUACACAUACACGCAUAUACGAUAUCCACCAACGUCAAAGCGCAGAUACUAGCUGAAGUGAAAUUCAAACACAAAAAGGAAAAAGAGAAAGUAUUAGCGUACGUGCAGGUAGAAUAUAAAUCAAUGAGAAGAACCGACUAGAACUGGCAACUGUAGCUACGCCACUGUCUGAAAAAGCAAUAGUUUAGUCAUCGCAA
Atta colombica is the source of this 2316-nucleotide RNA transcript. It is a transcript of the gene named transmembrane protein 120 homolog, with no coding region annotated. The transcript is spliced from 7 exons. NCBI's taxonomy places the organism in Eukaryota, Metazoa, Arthropoda, Insecta, Hymenoptera, Formicidae. The record is from RefSeq and is a predicted model, not a curated record.